GUGUCAGCCGCCGCGGUAAUACGUAGGUGGCAAGCGUUGUCCGGAUUUACUGGGCGUAAAGGAUGCGUAGGCGGAUUUUUAAGUGAGAUGUGAAAACCCUGAGCUUAACUUGGGGACUGCAUUUCAUACUGGAAGUCUAGAGUGCGGGAGAGGAAAGUGGAAUUCCUAGUGUAGCGGUGAAAUGCGUAGAGAUUAGGAAGAACACCAGUGGCGAAGGCGACUUUCUGGACCGUAACUGACGCUGAGGCAUGAAAGCGUGGGUAGCAAACAGGAUUAGAUACCCUGGUAGUCCACGCCGUAAACGAUGAGUACUAGGUGUAGGAGGUAUCGACCCCUUCUGUGCCGCAGUUAACACAAUAAGUACUCCGCCUGGGAAGUACGAUCGCAAGAUUAAA
This 395-nucleotide ribosomal RNA is filed under the name uncultured bacterium. RNAcentral's name for it is "bacterial SSU rRNA". It matches the Rfam family "Bacterial small subunit ribosomal RNA", at positions 505 to 898 of the family's 1533-position model. The record is from RNAcentral.